UACGGAGGGUGCAAGCGUUGUUCGGAAUUACUGGGCGUAAAGAGCGUGUAGGCGGUUUGGCAAGUCAGAUGUGAAAGCCCUGGGCUCAACCCAGGAAGUGCAUUUGAAACUGCCAUCCUAGAGUAUGGGAGAGGAGAGUGGAAUUCCCAGUGUAGAGGUGAAAUUCGUAGAUAUUGGGAGGAACACCCGUGGCGAAGGCGACUCUCUGGACCAAUACUGACGCUGAGACGCGAAAGCGUGGGGAGCAAACAGG
RNAcentral lists this ribosomal RNA (253 nucleotides) under uncultured bacterium. RNAcentral's name for it is "partial 16S ribosomal RNA". It matches the Rfam family "Bacterial small subunit ribosomal RNA", at positions 524 to 776 of the family's 1533-position model. The record is from RNAcentral.